This 357-nucleotide RNase P RNA is filed under the name uncultured Treponema sp. RNAcentral's name for it is "Bacterial RNase P class A". It matches the Rfam family "Bacterial RNase P class A". Rfam says of the family: Ribonuclease P (RNase P) is a ubiquitous endoribonuclease, found in archaea, bacteria and eukarya as well as chloroplasts and mitochondria. Its best characterised activity is the generation of mature 5'-ends of tRNAs by cleaving the 5'-leader elements of precursor-tRNAs. The record is from RNAcentral. Lineage: Bacteria; Pseudomonadati; Spirochaetota; Spirochaetia; Treponematales; Treponemataceae.
UAAAGCUGCCAUGAGGCAAAGUCCGGGCUCCACCGGAAAAAAUGCCGGAUAAGAACCGGGCAGAAAUCGGCAGUUGCAUAAUUACUUGCAUAACCCGAAAUCUGACAGAAAGUGCAACAGAAAAUAACCGCAUUGAGAAAUCUUUGUAAGGGUGAAAAGGCGGGGUAAGAGCCCACCGGAUUUCUGGUAACAGAAAUCGCAGGAAAACCUCAUUUGGAGCAAGGUCAAGCAGCAGCUAAUCGUUCCGGGAUUUAUAGCUGCGGGUAGACCGCUAAAGAUUCAGGGUAAUCUGAAUUUCGGAUAGAUGGUUACGCGGAUUUUUUUAAUCCGUACCAGAACUCGGCUUACUGUCUCUUU